RNAcentral lists this ribosomal RNA (253 nucleotides) under uncultured bacterium. Its description in RNAcentral is "partial 16S ribosomal RNA". It matches the Rfam family "Bacterial small subunit ribosomal RNA", at positions 524 to 776 of the family's 1533-position model. The record is from RNAcentral.
UACGGAGGGUGCAAGCGUUAUCCGGAUUCACUGGGUUUAAAGGGUGCGUAGGUGGGCUUGUAAGUCAGUGGUGAAAUCUCCGGGCUUAACCCGGAAACUGCCAUUGAUACUAUAGGUCUUGAAUUAUCUGGAGGUCAGCGGAAUAUGUCAUGUAGCGGUGAAAUGCUUAGAUAUGACAUAGAACACCAAUUGCGAAGGCAGCUGGCUACAGGUAAAUUGACACUGAGGCACGAAAGCGUGGGGAUCAAACAGG